CACAUCCGCGUGGGAGAGCUCGCCGGGCCUCGGCCCGGUGGCGCCGAAGGGGCAAAUCCUCCCCGGAACCUCUCAGGCAAAAGGACCGCGCGGACAUG
RNAcentral lists this non-coding RNA (98 nucleotides) under Asanoa hainanensis. RNAcentral describes it as "Glycine sequence". It matches the Rfam family "Glycine riboswitch aptamer". From Rfam's summary of the family: This family represents the bacterial glycine riboswitch. Glycine riboswitches usually consist of two metabolite-binding aptamers domains with similar structures in tandem. The aptamers cooperatively bind glycine to regulate the expression of downstream genes. Lineage: Bacteria; Bacillati; Actinomycetota; Actinomycetes; Micromonosporales; Micromonosporaceae. The record is from Rfam by way of RNAcentral.